Molecule: ribosomal RNA, 336 nt
Filed under: Triticum aestivum (bread wheat)
Lineage: Eukaryota; Viridiplantae; Streptophyta; Magnoliopsida; Poales; Poaceae
Description: partial small subunit ribosomal RNA
Source: RNAcentral
AUGUUUCCGUUCAAGUUCAAGAGUAAGCAAUUUCCUGUAAGGCUUAGCUUUGCUAUGACGAUUAACAAGACUCAAGGCCAGACGAUUCUGAUUGUUAGCAUGUACCUACCUAAUCCGGUGUUCUCUCAUGGUCAACUCUAUGUCGCAUUGUCUCGAGCCAUCGCAAAGAGAAAUAUAAAGAUCCUCAUUGAGAAGGAGAAGGAGAAGGAGAAUGCCCAGAAGCAAAGCGGUAAAUCUAAGAAGCGAAAAAGACCUGCCUUGUCCUUACAGACCUCAAUGAAGAACAUCGUCUAUAAGGAAGUCCUUACAGGCGGAAGUCUGCUCUUAAAUAUGUGA